AAUAGGUUUGGUCCUAGCCUUUCUAUUAGCCCUUAGUAAGAUUACACAUGCAAGCAUCCCCGCCCCGGUGAGUCACCCUCUAAAUCGCCAUGAUCAAAAGGAACAAGUAUCAAGCACGCAGCAAUGCAGCUCAAAACGCUUAGCCUAGCCACACCCCCACGGGAGACAGCAGUGAUAAACCUUUAGCAAUAAACGAAAGUUUAACUAAGCCAUACUAACCCUAGGGUUGGUCAAUUUCGUGCCAGCUACCGCNNNNNNNNNAUUWACCCAAGUCAAUAGAAACCGGCGUAAAGAGUGUUUUAGAUCAACCCCCCCCCCCCAAUAAAGCUAAAAUUCACCUGAGUUGUAAAAAACUCCAGCUGAUACAAAAUAAACUACGAAAGUGGCUUUAACACAUCUGAAUACACAAUAGCUAAGACCCAAACUGGGAUUAGAUACCCCACUAUGCUUAGCCCUAAACUUCAACAGUUAGAUUAACAAAACUGCUCGCCAGAACACUACGAGCCACAGCUUAAAACUCAAAGGACCUGGCGGUGCUUCAUAUCCCUCUAGAGGAGCCUGUUCUGUAAUCGAUAAACCCCGAUCAACCUCACCGCCUCUUGCUCAGCCUAUAUACCGCCAUCUUCAGCAAACCCUGAUGAAGGUUACAAAGUAAGCGCAAGUAUCCACGUAAGGACGUUAGGUCAAGGUGUAGCCUAUGAGGUGGCAAGAAAUGGGCUACAUUUUCUACCCCAGAAAAUUACGAUAACCCUUAUGAAACCUAAGGGUCGAAGGUGGAUUUAGCAGUAAACUAAGAGUAGAGUGCUUAGUUGAACAGGGCCCUGAAGCGCGUACACACCGCCCGUCACCCUCCUCAAGUAUACUUCAAAGGAUACUUAACUUAAACCCCCUAUGCAUUUAUAUAGAGGAGAUAAGUCGUAACAUGGUAAGUGUACUGGAAAGUGCACUUGGACGAAC
RNAcentral lists this non-coding RNA (957 nucleotides) under Pan troglodytes schweinfurthii. RNAcentral describes it as "12S ribosomal RNA". It matches the Rfam family "Archaeal small subunit ribosomal RNA". Lineage: Eukaryota; Metazoa; Chordata; Mammalia; Primates; Hominidae. The record is from RNAcentral.